AAAUGAGUCUCCUCCACGAACCUAUUGUCAACUUGAACUGUAAUCUGACAAGCUUUAAUUAGAGCUUGAUUGGUUCUCCUUCUACCACCCGCAAACGCAGCGUUUGCGGGUGGUAGCGGUUGUUAGCGAUUGAAAGCAAUCAUAGACACCGCUAGACAUCGCUUUAAACCGCUCGAAAUCGCCCGUUUUCAAAAGCUCCUUCUCGCAAGCGUUUGCGGUUGCGGGCGGUACCGGUUAGGUUAAAAAAAAA
This 250-nucleotide small RNA is filed under the name Arabidopsis thaliana (thale cress). Its description in RNAcentral is "ATSL245910". Lineage: Eukaryota; Viridiplantae; Streptophyta; Magnoliopsida; Brassicales; Brassicaceae. The record is from RNAcentral.